Odobenus rosmarus divergens (Pacific walrus) is the source of this 603-nucleotide non-coding RNA. NCBI's taxonomy places the organism in Eukaryota, Metazoa, Chordata, Mammalia, Carnivora, Odobenidae. The record is from the annotation of a RefSeq genome assembly.
AUGCCCUGCAAACUUCUUCCUGACACAAACACAGUAAACAGUAUGGAAAAGCUGUUGAAACAGAAGUAUCUUCCUUUCUUAGAAUCAAUCCUCAUAAUGUUAAGACCCAAAUUUGUGAAGUGCCAGCGUCCUCCCUUUGCUGAUUUAAACCUGCCCAGCCUGGAUCCUGCAGUGGGAGUGGAGCCCCAGCCCUGGGAUCUCUGGUGGAACCAUUCAGUGAUCAGGACAGAACACAGACAACUCACCAUGAAUUCUGUGCUUGGUUGGGUUUUCUUGCUGCUCUUUUCAAAGGUAAUUUAUUGUGAGGGGCACCUGGUGGAGUCUGGGGGAGACCUGGUGAAGCCUGGCAGUUCCUUGAGACUCUCCUGUGUAGCAUCUGGAUUCACCUUCAGUAGCUAUGCCAUGUGCUGGGUUUGCCAGGCUCCAGGGAAGGGGCUGCAGGUGGAUGCAGGUAUUAGCAGUGGUGGAAGUUACAUAUAUGCCACAGACUCUAUGAAGGGCCGAUUUACCAUCUCCAGCAACCAGUGCAAGAACAUGCUGUAUCUGCAGAUGAGCAGCCUGAGAGCUGAGGACACAGCUGUGUAUACCGCCAGAAAGGACUGG